This 482-nucleotide ribosomal RNA is filed under the name uncultured bacterium. RNAcentral describes it as "bacterial SSU rRNA". It matches the Rfam family "Bacterial small subunit ribosomal RNA", at positions 30 to 507 of the family's 1533-position model. The record is from RNAcentral.
UGAACGCUAGCGGCAGGCUUAAUACAUGCAAGUCGAGGGCAGCGCAGUGUAGCAAUACAUGGGCGGCGACCGGCAAACGGGUGCGGAACACGUACACAACCUUCCUACAAGUGGGGAAUAGCCCAGAGAAAUUUGGAUUAAUACCCCGUAACAUAGCGAUGUGGCAUCACAUUGCUAUUAUAGCUUCGGCGCUUGUUGAUGGGUGUGCGGCUGAUUAGAUAGUUGGCGGGUAACGGCCCACCAAGUCUACGAUCAGUAGCUGAUGUGAGAGCAUGAUCAGCCACACGGGCACUGAGACACGGGCCCGACUCCUACGGGAGGCAGCAGUAAGGAAUAUUGGACAAUGGACGCAAGUCUGAUCCAGCCAUGCCGCGUGAAGGAUUAAGGUCCUCUGGAUUGUAAACUUCUUUUAUAAGGGACGAAAAAAGGUCUUUCUAGAUCGUCUGACGGUACCUUAUGAAUAAGCACCGGCUAACUCCGUG